ACGGGUAGCCUGUGGUGAAAUGCUAUCCCAGACUCCUUUUUAAGCGUUGUUGCUUCCUUCGUUCUUUUACCACGAGGUCACAACGAACGCGGUCGACGUUCUAAAGCUCUCCCAAAUAUCUUUCGAAAUUUUGGUUAUUCCAAGCUGUAUUCUGUAAGAAGAUGCCUCCUUUCGAACAUCCGACGGUUUUUAAAAGAAUUCAACUUCACAUGACAACAGCAAGAAUUACGAAAAAGGAUGGAUGAGAGUGGUAUUAGUUUGUCCAGCCUCACGUGCGCAGGUUCUUGUGUCCAAUCAGAAAUGGGAGGAGUUCUACCAAAAGAACUGCUGUGUUUUAUGGGUUUACAAGCCAUGAAGACUUCUUUACUAAAUAGCAAUCUCAUUGUCUAGCCCUUCAGCUUUAUGGCAAUAUGCAAGCCCCAUUUAGGCUGCUGCUGGCAGCAUCUCUAGCAUCAAGUUGGGGUUGCAUAUCACAUUUUGUGCUGUUGGGGAAGAAACCAUCUCCGACUGUGUAUUGAGGAUGCAAUUUAUCGUAGCAAGAUACAUUUCAUGGAGGAUAGAACCAGCGAUUCAAUAAAAUAGAGUAAUAGACACUUUAUGGGGGAUAAAACCAAACACAAGCGUGGGCCUGCUCUACUUGGAGCUGUUAUUAUUGAAUAAACAUUUUAUCAUAUGUUA
Molecule: long non-coding RNA, 678 nt
Organism: Nematostella vectensis (starlet sea anemone)
Lineage: Eukaryota; Metazoa; Cnidaria; Anthozoa; Actiniaria; Edwardsiidae
Exons: 8
Source: RefSeq, a predicted model, not a curated record